ACCCCUCAACGCAGGUUCCAGCACACUUCAGCUGUCAUCUUACAACUGCAGCCUGCUUCACCAGUGCCCCAGCAGUGUGUCCCUGAUGACUGGAAAGAAGUGGCACCAGGGGAGAAAAGUGUGCCUGAGACGCGGUCUGGCCCAUCACCACAUCAGCAGGCUAUUGUCACUGCCAUGCCUGGUGGCCUGCCUGUACCCACGAGCCCUAACAUCCAGCCGUCCCCAGCUCACGAUGAGAAGGGGUUUUGAACAGCAGUCCAUUCCACUGUAGAUUUGCUCUAAUUAUCAGAAAGUUGCUUUUCAAAUGAAGUCAAAACCUGCUCUCUUGGAAUUUGCCAGCAUUGGUCAUGAUUCUGUCUUGUGAAUUAUAAGAGUCCAUCUUAUACAGUGUUUGUAGACAGUUGUCGGACUGUCUCUUGCCUCUCCCCCCAUUAAAAAAGAGAAAAUCUCCAGGCUAAA
Molecule: long non-coding RNA, 459 nt
Filed under: Homo sapiens (human)
Lineage: Eukaryota; Metazoa; Chordata; Mammalia; Primates; Hominidae
Description: non-protein coding lnc-A3GALT2-1:1
Source: RNAcentral